This is a non-coding RNA of Pelobates cultripes (western spadefoot toad), 77 nucleotides long. The record is from the annotation of a GenBank genome assembly. NCBI's taxonomy places the organism in Eukaryota, Metazoa, Chordata, Amphibia, Anura, Pelobatidae.
CAGAUGAUUGAGUCAAAUAUAAAUACAUAUUAUAUAUACAUAUAUAAUAUGUAUUUGUAUAUGACUCAAUCAUCUGU